GAGAGCGUAACUCUUGAAAAUGGGCGGGCUCCUUAACGGGCGGGGCCUCAGAUCAAGGAGUGGAAAGUGUUCCAAGAAAGGUCGCGCGUGCGCCAGCUCGGAUUACUGGGCGUGAACGCUGAUCUUGUUUCCCGGGAGAGCGCGGGUGGCUGUGGUGGAAGGAUCUCCGCCUGUACACGCACGAGACCGAACCCAGACCGAGGUCACGGGGCCUCGUGAGCUUCGCUGAUGUGGCCGCGGCCGCGUCCUCGGAUGAGUGGAGAAGGCUGCGCCUCACACAGAAGGCCCUCCACCGGCACAUCAUGCGGAAGACCUGAGGCCCAUCUGAGAGUGUUGAGUGAGGGGCGCGGACACGCGUGCACCGGCGCCCGGGCCGGGACCUAGAGGAGGGCUGAGAUGCAGUACUGGGCUUUCUGAGCCUCAGAUGAAUGUGGGGGCAGAGAUUCAGGGGCGCUUACUCUUUUAUGUCAUUGGAUCCGCGUGACCGUCUGAUCAAGCUUUAUGUUACCCCUUUCUCAGAAGAAUGUUUUUUAAAUGCAUAAGACAAAAACAAGGAAUUACAAAGGAAACUAUAUUUACCAAACCAAAGUUGUCGGAUAUGUUUUUAAAUUGGCGAAUCCCAAGUUAAGACCCUGUGAUCUAAAAGGAAGAAAGAAAGGGUGAGUGGUCUCUUCUUGACCUUGGGAAUGGAGGAAUAUACCGGCGUGAGUUAGUUCAUAUAUGAGAACCUUUAACCAGAGGACUUGGGGGCUAAAACUAUUAAUGGUACUUUAUUGUCUCCCGGGGUUUCCAGUCUUUAGAUCAGCCCUCACCUGCUUGGGACUAAAGGGAUCUAGUUUUGCCAGAGCAAGACAUGCAAGAAUGACCCCAGGAGGUGAAGAAUGAAAGAAUGGCACAGGCCUCCUGGUUGCCACCCAGAAAUGCUCCCUGGAUCUGACCUAUCUUGGAAGUCCCUCCGCAACCCAUUCUUUUACUUUUCUCCUUUAUGGGAGCAUCUUUUGAGAUUCUCAGUGCAACUUCUCGCCUGAAGCCAGAAGCCAGAAUGAGAAGCACAAACAGAUGGAAUUUGAGGGAAUCCCUUUGAUACACCAUCCAGUGGGGUCCUGCAUUUGCUGAAGCCAGCUAUGUUGAGACUAAGCACCAGCAGGUUUCCAAAAGCAAAAACAACUUCCCUGACAUCGUCAACUGAUAUUUCAGCAUUUUUAAAAUUGUUCCAUCAUUACAUCAUCCAUUCUGGAAAAUACCAUUUUUACCAGCAUAUUGUUUGGAUGACAUUUUUAUUACAACCAGCACUGUUGCUUGCCAAUUCUUCAGCCACAACAGUGAAUAGCCCCUGCCUCAGUGAGAAGUUCUUCACCCAGAAGUGAAUUGUGGAAGCAAAACCUAUGGACCCAUCGUCCUGUUGUUGGGAGGCAGAAGAACUGGUCACCUAUGCAAGACCAUGCCAUCUGCUUCUGUCCAAAAUUAAAUAACUAAAUAAGAUUUCUUCCUUGGUUUCCAACAUUAGUAAAAAGAGAGGUGACCUACUCAGUCCUGAGCACUAAGGACGAACUGAAGAGGCCCAUAGCCAGGCAGACCCUCAAGAAGAUUUGAAGACAGAAAAUUCUUGCCUUUUGGGAAUCCUAAGAAAGACUGAGAGGGAGAUACACUAGUAGUGAGUUUGUAUGCCAACUCUAAAAGUCCCAGAAUUUCAAGCCUCUAAACCUGUUCUCAUCUCUUGGAACAAGAAAACAGAGGUAUGGGACCUAGAAGCCCAGAAUACUGAGGAGAAAAGGAAUUAUCCAAGAACCUGUAAAGAUGAAUAUCAGUCUGCUCUUCUGCUUUCCUUCCCUUCUCCCCACUGAGAAAGCAGAAAGAAAAAAAAUACAUACUCAAAACUGCUCUGCCAAACUUAUAUAGUUAAGCAAAACAAAAUUUCUCAUUGGCCCUACCUAAAAAAGUAUGUCUCAAUUUGUGCUCUGAGUUCAUCACCUCUCUCAGGAAGUAGAAAGCACGUUUCUUCAAGAAUGCCCAAGAAUUGUGAUUGGUCAUUGUGUUGGUCAGAGUUUCCAAGUUUGGAUGAAUUUGUGGAGUAGAGGCUUCCCAUGACUGCCAUAUUGGCUCUAACCUUCUCAAAUCAUUCUCAAAAAAACCCCACAUUUCUUAUACCUUGCUCUAAGAACACAAAUGCCUUGUCACAUUUUCUUAGAGGUAGAAGGAAUCUCUGAAAUUAUCUAGUCAAAUCCAUGUUUGAACAGUAAUUCCUUCAUCUUACCCAUCCUCAUCCAAGUUUUUUUAACAGCUCUUGCUACUUUUACGAUUUUUCAUCGACUUACCUCAAACUGGGAUCUUGGGAAUAUUUCUCUGAAGGCUGUUUCUAACAGACAUAUAUUAAUCCUUAUUCUCUACAAGUACUAUUGUGAAUAUUUGCUACCAUUAUUUUUUUUAAUUGCUCCAGAGUUUACUGAUGCUUCAUUUUUUAGCUUGCUUUUCAUUAUAACUCUCCUUAUCAAUUCUGCAGUUCUUCAGAGCCAAGUGUUAAAGCUGAAUUUCAACCAUAAAGCUAAUAAACAAAAAAUUCUUUUAUGGGAUCCUUUUUCUCAUUCUAUCUGUGGCCCUAUGCAUAUGAUCAUUAAGUGUAGAAAUUGGAAGGGACUUUAGAAAGUCCAAGACCACACAGAUUAAUGAUAAAGAUGGGUUUCAAACUGAGUCCUCUGAUUCCAAACCAAAUAUCCUUUCACAAUUCAUACUCGUAUCUGCAAAGCCUCAGUUUUGUCCUCAGUUUCUCCUUUCUUGGAUAAAAGUGCCUCCUACUUUUUGGUAAAGAGGUGGUGUAAUGGAACAUUUUCUGACAAUAUUAAUGUGUGAAUUUAUUUUGUUAGAGUGUACCUAUUUUUUUACAAGGGAAGGCUUUUGUGGAAGAGUUGAAGAGAGUUGUAGAUUAGGAAUGAUGUUAAAAAGAAAGAAAAGAAUGUCAAUGAAACAUUUUUAAAAUAUAAGAGAAUAGAAAGGGAUCUAGAAAGCAGAGUACUCUUGAUAUUAAAUUUAACAUUAUUUUAAAAGCCAAAUGGUACAAAAUAGAGAUUUAAGGGAUUUUUUUCCAGGGGUCAUACUUUGCAACUAUUAUUCAAUUACUGCAUUAGAAAUGCUAACUGUAACAAAACAAUAAGACAAGAAAAAGAAAUUGGCAGAAUAAAAAUAUUCAUUGAGGAAACAAAAUUGUCAUUCUUUGCUGAUUAAAAAAUUGCAAGAUGUAAAAUAAACCCACAAAAAUUUCUAUAUACUAUAUACAAAAUCCAACAGGAAGAGAUAGAGAUAGAAAUUUUAUUUAAAAUAACUGCAGACAGAAAUUAGGCAAGGACCCACACUUAAUACCACAUACCAAGAUAAGAUCAAAAUGGGUCCAUGAUCUAGGCAUAAAGAAUGAGAUUAUAAAUAAAUUAGAGGAACAUAGGAUAGUUUAUCUCUCAGACUUGUGGAGGAGAAAGAAAUUUGUGACCAAAGAUGAACUAGAGACUAUUACCGAUCACAAAAUAGAAAAUUUUGAUUAUAUCAAAUUAAAAAGCCUUUGUACAAACAGAACGAAUGCAAACAAGAUUAGUAGGGAAGCAACAAACUGGGAAAACAUCUUUACAAUUAAAGGUUCUGAUAAAGGCCUCAUUUCCAAAAUAUAUAGAGAACUGACUCAAAUUUAUAAAAAAUCAAGCCAUUCUCCAAUUGAUAAAUGGUCAAAGGAUAUGAACAGACAAUUUUCAGAUGAAGAAAUUGAAACUAUUACCACUCACAUGAAAGAGUGUUCCAAAUCACUAUUGAUCAGAGAAAUGCAAAUUAAGACAACUCUGAGAUAUCACUACACACCUGUCAGAUUGGCUAAGAUGACAGGAAAAAAAUAAUGAUGAAUGUUGGAGGAGAUGCGGGAAAACGGGGACACUGAUGCAUUGUUGGUGGAGUUGUGAACGAAUCCAGCCAUUCUGGAGAGCAAUCUGGAAUUAUGCCCAAAAAGUUAUCAAACUGUGCAUACCCUUGGAUCCAGCAGUGUUUCUAUUGGGCUUAUACCCCAAAGAGAUACUAAAAAAGGGAAAGGGACCUGUAUGUGCCAAAAUGUUUGUGGCAGCCCUGUUUGUAGUGGCUAGAAACUGGAAAAUGAAUGGAUGCCCAUCAAUUGGAGAAUGGCUGGGUAAAUUGUGGUAUAUGAAUGUUAUGGAAUAUUAUUGCUCUGUAAGGAAUGACCAGCAGGAUGAAUACAGAGAGGCUUGGAGAGACCUACGUGGACUGAUGCUAAGUGAGAUGAGCAGAACCAGGAGAUCAUUAUACACUUCGACAACGAUAUUGUAUGAGGAUGUAUUCUGAUGGAAGUGGAUUUCUCUGACAAAGAGACUUAACUGAGUUUCAUUGGAUAAAUGAUGGACAGAAACAGCUACACCCAAAGAAGGAAUACUGGGAAAUGAAUGUGAACUAUUUGAUUUUUGAUUUUCUUCCCGAGUUAUUUUUACCUUCUGAAUCCAAUUCUCCCUGUGCAGCGGGAGAACUGUUCGGUUCUGCAAAUAUGUAUUGUAUCUAGGAUAUACUGCAACAUAUUUAACAUAUAUAGGACUGCUUGCCAUCUUGGGGGGGGGGGAGGAGGGAGGGAGGGGAAAAAACGAAACAUAAGUGAUUGCAAGGGAUAAUGCUGUGUAAAAAUUAUCCUGGCAUGGAUUCUGUCAAUACAAAGUUAUUAUUAAAUAAAAUUAAAUAUAAAAAAAAUAAUAAUAAAAAUAAAAAUAAAAUAAAAUAACUGCAGACAAUAUAAAGUACUUAAGUUUCUGUAGAGCAAGAUAAACCCUAGGGACUGAUGAAUACAGUUAUAAAAUGUUUUUUUCACACAAAUAAAGACUGAUUUAAACAGUUGGGGAAAUAUUAGUUGUUCAAAAGUAAACCACACCAAUUUAAUAAAAAUGACAAUUCUGCCUAAGUUAUUCAGUGCCAUACCAAUCAAAAUUUCAAGGGAUUAUUUUAUAGAGCUAAAAAACAUAGCAGAAUUCAUCUGAAAGAGAAGAUGGUCAAGAAUAUUAAAAAAAAAUAAAAGUGAAGGAAGGUAGCACCAAAUUUUAAAUUAUAUUAUAAAGCAAUAGUCAUGAAAGUGGGAUAGAUUAGGUACAAAAUAUGCGGUAGUAAAUGAUCAAGGUGAUCUGGUGUUUGAUAAAUCCAAAAAUCUAAGCUUUAGUGAUGUAUUUGACAAAAUUUGCUGGGAGAAUUGGAAACCAAUUUGGCGAAACUCGUCAUGCAUCAACAUCUCACACUAUAUGCCAAAAUAAGAUCAAUAAUGUUUUAGACAAUAAAGGAUGUUAUCAUUACUAAAUUAGAAGAACAUGGAAAAGUGUAACUGUCCAAUCUACAAGUUAAGGGAAAUAAGAGGCAAAGAACAUUAUAGGAAUUAAAAUGGAUGAUUUUGAUUACAUAAAAUAUAAAACAUUUUGCACAAACAAAACUAAUACAGACAUAAUUAGAAGGAAAACAAGAAAUUAGGGGAAAAAUUAAUGUAAAUUUCUUUGAAAAAGGCCUUUUUCUCAAAUAUAUAUGGAACUGAACCAGAUCUAUAAAAAAUCUCCUCAAUUGGUAAAUGGUCAAAAGAUAUGAACAGGCAGUUUUCAGCAGAAAACAACAACAAAAGUCACAUGAAAAAAUACUUUAAAUCCCAUCAGAUUAUUGAUUAGAGAAAUACAAAUUAAAACAACUUUGAAAUACCCCCUCAUACCUAUCAGAUUGACUACUUUGGCAUAAAAGAUAAUUGACAUGUUGGAGGGGGUGUAGAAAAAGUAGGACACAUGUACUUUUGGUGGAAUUGUGAAUUAGUCUAACCAUUCUGGAGAACAGUUUAUAGAACUAUGCCUAAAGGAUUAUAAAACUAAAACUAAAAGCGUCACCUUUGACCCAGCAAUACUACUUGAAAGAUUAAAAAAUAGGGAAAAUGGCCUAUUUGCACAAAAAAUAUUUAUAGCAGCUCUUUUUGUAGAGGCAAAGAAUUAGAAAUUGAGAUUCCCUACUAAUUAGGCAAAUUUGUGGCAGAUGAUUGUGAUGGCAUGCUGUUGUAUUUUAAAAAGUGACAAGAAGUACAUUUUGUUUCCUUUCUCAUUUUUUUCUUUUUGAUCUGAUUUUUCUUGUGCAACAUGAUAUUUGUGGAAAUAUGUAUAGAAGGAUUACACAUGUUUAACAUGAUAUUAUUUACUUGCCAUCUAGGGGAAGGGAAGAAAAAUAUUUGGGAACACAAGGUUUUGCAAGAGUAAGUGUUGAAUGUCCAUGCAUAUGUUUUGAAAAUAAAAAGCUUUAACCAAAAAAAAGGUAACUAGAUUGUUUUUUAAAAAAGAAAAAAGAAAAAAGGACAACUUGGCAAGACAUAUAGGAACUGAUGAAGAGUGAAGUGAGUAGAACACAGUAACAGUAAUAUUGUAGGCAUGAUCAGCUGUUAAAGACUUAGCUAUUUUGAUCAAAAUUCAAGACAAUUCCAAAGGACCUGUGAUGAAAAAUAAGAAGCACAGUAGUAUUCCACACAGCCCAUAACACUGAUAAACUAUGUUGUUACUGUCCUAAUAAACUCAAUCAAAAACC
Molecule: long non-coding RNA, 6564 nt
Organism: Antechinus flavipes (yellow-footed antechinus)
Lineage: Eukaryota; Metazoa; Chordata; Mammalia; Dasyuromorphia; Dasyuridae
Exons: 4
Source: RefSeq, a predicted model, not a curated record